RNAcentral lists this ribosomal RNA (1343 nucleotides) under uncultured bacterium. RNAcentral describes it as "16S ribosomal RNA". It matches the Rfam family "Bacterial small subunit ribosomal RNA", at positions 28 to 1378 of the family's 1533-position model. The record is from RNAcentral.
GACGAACGCUGGCGGCGUGCUUAACACAUGCAAGUCGAACGGAAAGGCCCUGCUUUUGUGGGGUGCUCGAGUGGCGAACGGGUGAGUAACACGUGAGUAACCUGCCCUUGACUUUGGGAUAACUUCAGGAAACUGGGGCUAAUACCGGAUAGGAGCUCCUGCUGCAUGGUGGGGGUUGGAAAGUUUCGGCGGUUGGGGAUGGACUCGCGGCUUAUCAGCUUGUUGGUGGGGUAGUGGCUUACCAAGGCUUUGACGGGUAGCCGGCCUGAGAGGGUGACCGGCCACAUUGGGACUGAGAUACGGCCCAGACUCCUACGGGAGGCAGCAGUGGGGAAUAUUGCACAAUGGGCGGAAGCCUGAUGCAGCAACGCCGCGUGCGGGGUGACGGCCUUCGGGUUGUAAACCGCUUUCGCCUGUGACGAAGCGUGAGUGACGGUAAUGGGUAAAGAAGCACCGGCUAACUACGUGCCAGCAGCCGCGGUGAUACGUAGGGUGCGAGCGUUGUCCGGAUUUAUUGGGCGUAAAGGGCUCGUAGGUGGUUGAUCGCGUCGGAAGUGUAAUCUUGGGGCUUAACCCUGAGCGUGCUUUCGAUACGGGUUGACUUGAGGAAGGUAGGGGAGAAUGGAAUUCCUGGUGGAGCGGUGGAAUGCGCAGAUAUCAGGAGGAACACCAGUGGCGAAGGCGGUUCUCUGGGCCUUUCCUGACGCUGAGGAGCGAAAGUGUGGGGAGCGAACAGGCUUAGAUACCCUGGUAGUCCACGCUGUAAACGGUGGGUACUAGGUGUGGGGUCCAUUCCACGGGUUCCGUGCCGUAGCUAACGCUUUAAGUACCCCGCCUGGGGAGUACGGCCGCAAGGCUAAAACUCAAAGGAAUUGUCGGGGCCCCGCACAAGCGGCGGAGCAUGCGGAUUAAUUCGAUGCAACGCGUAGAACCUUACCUGGGUUUGACAUGGAUCGGGAGUGCUCAGAGAUGGGUGUGCCUCUUUUGGGGUCGGUUCACAGGUGGUGCAUGCCUGUCGUCAGCUCGUGUCGUGAGAUGUUGGGUUAAGUCCCGCAACGAGCGCAACCCUUGUUCACUGUUGCCAGCACGUUAUGGUGGGGACUCAGUGGAGACCGCCGGGGUCAACUCGGAGGAAGGUGGGGAUGGCGUCAAGUCCUCAUGCCCCUUAUGUCCAGGGCUUCACGCAUGCUACAAUGGCUGGUACAGAGAGUGGCGAGCCUGUGAGGGUGAGCGAAUCUCGGAAAGCCGGUCUCAGUUCGGAUUGGGGUCUGCAACUCGACCUCAUGAAGUCGGAGUCGCUAGUAAUCGCAGAUCAGCAACGCUGCGGUGAAUACGUUCCCGGG